GCUGAUACGUCCCGGCCAAUCUCCAGCAGACCCUUCCUCCCAGACCCUCCUACUUCCUGGACAGCAUCCAUGUUUCUAUCUGUUGAAACAUGGAUGCUGUCCAGGAAGUAGGAGGGUCUGGGAGGGAGGGUCUGCUGGAGAUUGGCUGGAGAUUGGCCG
Pelobates cultripes (western spadefoot toad) is the source of this 159-nucleotide non-coding RNA. The record is from the annotation of a GenBank genome assembly. NCBI's taxonomy places the organism in Eukaryota, Metazoa, Chordata, Amphibia, Anura, Pelobatidae.